Long non-coding RNA from Danaus plexippus (monarch butterfly), 368 nucleotides. RefSeq lists it as uncharacterized. The record is from RefSeq and is a predicted model, not a curated record. Lineage: Eukaryota; Metazoa; Arthropoda; Insecta; Lepidoptera; Nymphalidae. The transcript is spliced from 2 exons.
CCGCCGCGCCCUCGGCUGCUUGCAAACCCAACACUCACUAUUUUUAUAUCGCUACAUACGCUAACGGUUCGGGGUCGGGGAAGCGCAUCUUUAAGAAGCGACGGCUAACUGCUAGGUAUCAACGCCAGAGCAGCUUCACAACUGACACAGGCGCGGGGAUGGUGAUGGGCUGGCUUCCUGCUGCCGCCGCUGCCGAGAGAGGUGGACGAGCUCCGCUCCAGGUUGCAGCGGUUCAAGACCUCCGCCGCCUGCGACAGAAUACUGGAUCACAUCGAGGAACAUCAUUCAGUAAUGACAGUUCCCCUUAGGAGACAUCUCCCUUAACUGCACGUUUGGAUAUUAUUAAAGUUUUAGAUCCACUUGACUAA